CGCGAAAGCAGCCUUCGGGCUGCAAGUAGAGUGGCGAACGGGUGAGUAACGCGUGGGUCACCUGCCCCGAGAUGGGGGAUAAGCCGGGGAAACCCGGUCUAAUACCGCAUAAGCCUUACGAGGGAAAGCCUUCGGGUGUCUUGGGAGGGGCCCGCGUCCGAUUAGCUAGUAGGUGAGGUAAGAGCUCACCUAGGCUUCGAUCGGUAACCGGUCUGAGAGGACGGACGGUCACACUGGGACUGAGACACGGCCCAG
RNAcentral lists this ribosomal RNA (255 nucleotides) under uncultured bacterium. RNAcentral describes it as "partial 16S ribosomal RNA". It matches the Rfam family "Bacterial small subunit ribosomal RNA", at positions 67 to 334 of the family's 1533-position model. The record is from RNAcentral.